GCCGCUGUCGCAUAGUGGUAUUGCACCUGGCUUGAGACCAGGGCCCUUUGGGCUCCCCGGUUCGAUUCCGGGCAGCGGCG
This 80-nucleotide transfer RNA is filed under the name Candidatus Pacearchaeota archaeon. RNAcentral describes it as "tRNA-Ser". It matches the Rfam family "tRNA". Rfam says of the family: Transfer RNA (tRNA) molecules are approximately 80 nucleotides in length. Their secondary structure includes four short double-helical elements and three loops (D, anti-codon, and T loops). The record is from RNAcentral. Lineage: Archaea; Nanobdellati.